This 308-nucleotide ribosomal RNA is filed under the name uncultured soil bacterium. Its description in RNAcentral is "bacterial SSU rRNA". It matches the Rfam family "Bacterial small subunit ribosomal RNA", at positions 26 to 337 of the family's 1533-position model. The record is from RNAcentral.
AGGACGAACGCUGGCGGCGUGCUUAACACAUGCAAGUCGAGCGGUAAGGCCUUUCGGGGUACACGAGCGGCGAACGGGUGAGUAACACGUGAGCAAUCUGCCCUUCACUUUGGGAUAACCUCCGGAAACGGUGGCUAAUACCGAAUGCGACCACUCCACGCAUGUGGUGGUGGUGGAAAGUUCUGGCGGUGGAGGAUGAGCUCGCGGCCUAUCAGCUUGUUGGUGAGGUAAUGGCUCACCAAGGCUUCGACGGGUAGCCGGCCUGAGAGGGUGACCGGCCACACUGGGACUGAGACACGGCCCAGACU